GAUGAACGCUGGCGGCGUGCCUAAUACAUGCAAGUCGAGCGAACGGACGAGAAGCUUGCUUCUCUGAUGUUAGCGGCGGUCGGGUGAGUAACACGUGGAUAACCUACCUAUAAGACUGGGAUAACUUCGGGAAACCGGAGCUAAUACCGGAUAAUAUUUUGAACCGCAUGGUUCAAAAGUGAAAGACGGUCUUGCUGUCACUUAUAGAUGGAUCCGCGCUGCAUUAGCUAGUUGGUAAGGUAACGGCUUACCAAGGCAACGAUGCAUAGCCGACCUGAGAGGGUGAUCGGCCACACUGGAACUGAGACACGGUCCAGACUCCUACGGGAGGCAGCAGUAGGGAAUCUUCCGCAAUGGGCGAAAGACUGACGGAGCAACGCCGCGUGAGUGAUGAAGGUCUUCGGAUCGUAAAACUCUGUUAUUAGGGAAGAACAUAUGUGUAAGUAACUGUGCACAUCUUGACGGUACCUAAUCAGAAAGCCACGGCUAACUACGUG
This 497-nucleotide ribosomal RNA is filed under the name uncultured bacterium. Its description in RNAcentral is "partial 16S ribosomal RNA". It matches the Rfam family "Bacterial small subunit ribosomal RNA", at positions 28 to 507 of the family's 1533-position model. The record is from RNAcentral.